GAUGAACGCUGGCGGCGUGCUUAACACAUGCAAGUCGAACGGUGAAGGCGGAGCUUGCUCUGCUGGAUCAGUGGCGAACGGGUGAGUAACACGUGAGCAAUCUGCCCCUGACUCUGGGAUAAGCGCUGGAAACGGCGUCUAAUACUGGAUACGAGCUGCGCAGGCAUCUUCAGCAGCUGGAAAGAAUUUCGUUCAGGGAUGGGCUCGCUGCCUAUCAGCUUGUUGGUGAGGUAAUGGCUCACCAAGGCGUCGACGGGUAGCCGGCCUGAGAGGGUGACCGGCCACAAUGGGACUGAGAGACGGCGCAGACUCCAACGGGAGGCAGAAGUGGGGAAUAUUGCACAAUGGGCGAAAGCGUGAUGCAGAAACGCCGCGUGAGGGACGACGGCCUUCGGGUUGUAAACCACUUUGAGAAGGGAAGAAGAGAAAGUGACGGUACCGGCAGAAAAAGCGCCGGCUAACUACGUG
This 468-nucleotide ribosomal RNA is filed under the name uncultured bacterium. RNAcentral's name for it is "partial 16S ribosomal RNA". It matches the Rfam family "Bacterial small subunit ribosomal RNA", at positions 28 to 507 of the family's 1533-position model. The record is from RNAcentral.